UUUUAUCUAGUUUAAAUAAAAUAAUUACUUGUCAAGUAAUUGACGCAAAUUAACAGGCGA
This 60-nucleotide transfer RNA is filed under the name Camaena cicatricosa. Its description in RNAcentral is "tRNA-Asp". The record is from RNAcentral. Lineage: Eukaryota; Metazoa; Mollusca; Gastropoda; Stylommatophora; Camaenidae.